UGGUGACAACCACUCGUGACAACCACUCGUGACAAAACCUCUCGUGUGACGGCUACUAUUUGAAGACCGUUCGUGACAAUCGCUUAUUAGAUACAAAAGUAAAAUUUAACUCAAUACUUUAGCACUAUAAAAAAUAGCGUCAUUAUUAAUUUGCUUCAUUGUUUAACAAUUAUAAGUUUGUUUUCGGCAUUUAUCAGCAGCUUAGAUUUUUCGAAGCAGGAAAGAAAUGUCAUACCAUAAACAUGAAAAGUAUCUGUGUAAUUAAAUCCUUAGAUCAAAUCCUUAUACGCAACUUCGUGUUCAAUUAUAUAUUAUGAGAAACAUGAAAGUAAUAAUAAGUUUAAUUCAACCUCUCAAAGUAUAGACUGGAUUACAGGUGAGUCCACCCACAAGAGAAGCUCCAAACAAGCUGCCAGCUUGGGGACAUGAUGCUAGGGCAGGAUGUACAUAUAAGGUAUUGCAUAUUGCUGCAUUAAUUUAAUGCAGCUAAGGGAAAAGUAGGACAACUUGAGUAACAAAAAGAUAGAUAAUAGUUUUGCAAAUGAAAACUUGUUAUAAAAUACUGGACCAGACUAAUAUAAUGAAUUUUGAAACCAAGUUAGAAUGGUCUAUUUCAUUCACUCCUUAGGGGCUAGAUGGGGGGUAGGGAGAUGUGCUUGGGCUAAAUGGGAGUAGGGAGAUGUACUUGAUGGGUGCAAAUAUUGUUUUAAAUGUUGGAAAGAAUAAAGAAAGCACCCAUUUUUGCUGUUAGAAACUAUAAUUCAGCUUCAAUUCUUCAAUUUUCCUUAAUCCAUUAUACCUCCAUACAGCUGCCUCCAUAAACAACAGAAGUUUUUCCAAAUUAAAGAAAAUUAAAAACAUACAUAUAUACAUAUAUAUUUAUAUAACUAUCUCAAGUAUCUGCUAGUAAAUAUAUAUAUAUAUACAAACUCAUUGAAGAGACUACCAGGUUUUCUUAGCACCUAUAUCUUAUCUUCAUUCAGAAGUCUUCAUGGUGAUUCACAUUCAUUAUGAUAUGGCUCAAAUUGAAUGUAUGCUGGCUCCACUUUUAGGCAGUGCCUAAAUCUAUAUAUUAUAUUUACUUACUUAUAUCUUCAUCUUCUUUGCCAUAGUCAAUAUCUGAAAUAAAUUGUAACAAUUAUAUUUAGAAAAGAGGAAGGGGUUUCUUUUCAAUUUGAUUUAUAGAGUACAGUAGCUUAUUAUUUAUGAUGGCCUUAUUGCAGAGGAGCCAACUGAAACUACAGCCUCACACACUAAUUUUAUUUUAUUUUUACUCAAUUCAGCUAUUUAAUAAUAAACUUUGGCAGCGCUGUAUAAGCAAAAAAAUGAUAGCAAUAAAUACGGCUAGGCUAGCUAUCAAAAGAAGCAGUCCACUUGGCAGUGCAGGGAAGGGCACUUUGUUUCCCUAUACUUAUGUCGGUGAUGUGCAGAGCUCAACACGAAAUUGUUUAAAGAAACCAAACGUCCCAGCAACUGGCGUCGCGUCCCAUAUAAAGACAUACCGAUUUCGAAAGCUACAUAACUCCUUAUUCUCAGAAUAAUUUUUUCUAAGCCCAGAAAAUUAUUGUAGAGAGAUCUUGGCAAAUUUCCACAUGUAUUUGGGUUCGAAAUCGGCAAACAUGGCGCUGCAGAGCUCCAAUUCCCUUCGAAUAAAUACUCACCAUCUUCCAUAUUUUUACUCCAUCGCUUCGACGCCUUGCACGAGAUAUCUUAGGAAGAUGAUCUAACACACUGGCUGCUCUAAAAUUGCAAAACUCGACGGGAAAAAGCUUUUAAAGCGAAAAAUAUAUCUUCCCGGCGGUAAAAGGCGAGGGGCUUGAAUGAUGACGUCAUAAUCCAUUUAGGCCGCCAUAUUUCUGUUUCUAGAAAAGGAAAUAUUCUGAGCUGAUAACGCGAAGUAUCUCACAGUAGCGCCCAGGAUCGAGGAAAUGUGAUAGAAAAAUAAAAACAAAUAAAGAAACAAACAAAA
Molecule: long non-coding RNA, 1969 nt
Organism: Nematostella vectensis (starlet sea anemone)
Lineage: Eukaryota; Metazoa; Cnidaria; Anthozoa; Actiniaria; Edwardsiidae
Exons: 2
Source: RefSeq, a predicted model, not a curated record